AAAUUCACCGUCGAUUGGGUUUAUGAAAAAUGCAAAAGAUAACAUACAACAUUAAGAAAAUCCUACAGCAUAUAU
Molecule: small RNA, 75 nt
Filed under: Conticribra weissflogii
Lineage: Eukaryota; Bacillariophyta; Thalassiosirophyceae; Thalassiosirales; Thalassiosiraceae
Description: partial Alphaproteobacteria transfer-messenger RNA
Source: RNAcentral